AAGGUAACCAGGCAAGGUGUUACUAAAGGCUGAAUAUUGAAUAAUAAGUCCUUAUUAGAGGUCAUGUGAUUAGUAGCACUAGAGUCAAUAAUCCAAAUGCAAUUAUCUACCUUUCUAAUCAUACAAGUACCAGAAGAAACCACAGACUCUACAGGAACAGGUAAAAAAUGCAUACCAGCAAAACCAGUAGAAACCAUAAGACUAGAAGGUUGAUCUGAAAUCUUGAAACUCUGUAGUAGACUUAGAAGUUGGCUAUACUGCUCCUUGGAUAACAAAGAAAAUGAUAGAUCAUUAGGAUUUCUAGGGAAUAAGCAACAGAAGAAGUGGUCGGCCCAAAAGACUCUUGAAUCUCAGCAGAAGCAGCCACUCGCUUACCCAUAAAAUUAGGAUUGGAAGGCUUGAAAUUAGCAGGAUACCCAAAUAGUUUAUGACACUUUUCAAUAACAUAUCCACUUAUUUUGUAAUAUUUGUAAAACAAGGAAGAUUUAUCUUGAUCAAAGUUGAUUGUAGGAGCAUAAAAUUUAUUGGGAUAACCGCUUUGAGGUUUGGGUGAAAUAGGAUAAGAUCGAGUUGUCGGUUUUAUUAGAUGGAAAAUAUGGUCCAGGUCUACGAUUAUGAGACAUUUAAAAAGAGGCAGAUUCUGUGGGAAAAUGAGCAGGGGAUAUUACUUGUCUCUCCCUUUCAUCUUGUAGUAGGAUGUUAUAUGUCGAAUCAAGAGAUGGGAAUGGUUGUUCCAUAAGAUUGUUACUUCGCACUCCAAUACAUGCCUCAUUCAGACCCAUGAGAAAUUGGUAAACCUUAUUUUCCUCAUAUUCCUUUUGUAGAUUAGGCUUUGCAGCACAUGUGCAGGUAUUGAUAUGAGAUGUAGAAAUAAACCUAAGCUCAUCCCAUAAUCUCUUAAGUUUGUUAACAUAAGAGGCAAUGUCUAAAGAUCCCGACUAGUAGAAGCUAAUUCUUUCUUAAGUUCGAACACCUUAGUGCCACUGAUCAAACCAUACCGCUUGUUCAAUUGACUCUAAAAUAUCUCAGCUGUGUAAGAGUAUUGUACACUUUCUACUAUAUCAGGAGACAAAGAACUGGUCAACCAUGUUAUGACCAUAUUAUUGCAUCUAUCCCAGACCCUAGCAAGGAAUAGAAAUAAUUCUAUUCAUUCUUGCAAAGGGCAUGUAACCCAAACGAUUAUGCCAUAAAACUUCUUCAUUCUGUAAUAGAUUGGAAUCAGUACAAUGGGAAACAAUAAAGGGAAUUAAAAUGUUUGGAGAAUAAUUAUCAGAAAAAAUAGAAGAAAUAAUGACAACAAUAGAAUCAGGAUUAGCAGAAGCAGGAACUGGACUGUGAUGUACUGAAGACUGUAUCAAUUUGUAAAGGUCAUUCUCCAAUCUACCAAGCUCUACUGGCCUCUUCAUUGAAGGGGUAUGGAUAAAACAAGAGAGUUUGGUAAAGAGUACAAAAUAAUUUAAUUGGGUAAUGAGCUUUGAAACAGACACAAGAUUAUACUAGAAACUAGGUAUAAUAAUAAGGACAUGAUGAAGGAUGAAAGAGAGAAAAUGAAUAGAGCCCGUGCAAGUCACCUUCACUUUGUAACCAUUAGGAAAGGUAACCAGGCAAGGUGUUACUAAAGGCUGAAUAUUGAAUAAUAAGUCCUUAUUAGAGGUCAUGUGAUUAGUAGCACUAGAGUCAAUAAUCCAAAUGCAAUUAUCUACCUUUCUAAUCAUACAAGUACCAGAAGAAACCACAGACUCUACAGGAACAGGUAAAAAAUGCAUACCAGCAAAACCAGUAGAAACCAUAAGACUAGAAGGUUGAUCUGAAAUCUUGAAACUCUGUAGUAGACUUAGAAGUUGGCUAUACUGCUCCUUGGAUAACAAAGAAAAUGAUAGAUCAUUAGGAUUUCUAGGGAAUAAGCAACAGAAGAAGUGGUCGGCCCAAAAGACUCUUGAAUCUCAGCAGAAGCAGCCACUCGCUUACCCAUAAAAUUAGGAUUGGAAGGCUUGAAAUUAGCAGGAUACCCAAAUAGUUUAUGACACUUUUCAAUAACAUAUCCACUUAUUUUGUAAUAUUUGUAAAACAAGGAAGAUUUAUCUUGAUCAAAGUUGAUUGUAGGAGCAUAAAAUUUAUUGGGAUAACCGCUUUGAGGUUUGGGUGAAAUAGGAUAAGAUCGAGUUGUCGGUUUUAUUAGAUGGAAAAUAUGGUCCAGGUCUACGAUUAUGAGACAUUUAAAAAGAGGCAGAUUCUGUGGGAAAAUGAGCAGGGGAUAUUACUUGUCUCUCCCUUUCAUCUUGUAGUAGGAUGUUAUAUGUCGAAUCAAGAGAGGGGAAUGGUUGUUCCAUAAGAUUGUUACUUCGCACUCCAAUACAUGCCUCAUUCAGACCCAUGAGAAAUUGGUAAACCUUAUUUUCCUCAUAUUCCUUUUGUAGAUUAGGCUUUGCAGCACAUGUGCAGGUAUUGAUAUGAGAUGUAGAAAUAAACCUAAGCUCAUCCCAUAAUCUCUUAAGUUUGUUAACAUAAGAGGCAAUGUCUAAAGAUCCCGACUAGUAGAAGCUAAUUCUUUCUUAAGUUCGAACACCUUAGUGCCACUGAUCAAACCAUACCGCUUGUUCAAUUGACUCUAAAAUAUCUCAGCUGUGUAAGAGUAUUGUACACUUUCUACUAUAUCAGGAGACAAAGAACUGGUCAACCAUGUUAUGACCAUAUUAUUGCAUCUAUCCCAGACCCUAGCAAGAGAUGUACUUUCAGCAGGUCUGGUAUAUGAACCAUCAAUAAAACCUAUUUUGUUUCUAGAAGAUAAGGACACAAUCAUGUUUCUCUAAAAUCCUCCAAAAUAAGUCCAUGAAAAAGGAACGCUAACUAGGGAUAUUCCAGGCACAUCGGAGAAGGAGAGAUAUAGUGGGUUAGAAUAAUCAAUAGGAACGGAGGUCGAAGCACCCGAAGAACUACUUGUGUUCACCAUGAGAGCAAAAAAAUGACAAAAAAUACAGAGAACACUGUCGAUUUCAACACAACAAAGGAAAAUGUCACAGAGAUGAGUGAGAACAAGAAAAAUUACCCCUCAUUUUUACAACUGAAAAUGGCAAGAGCCUUGGUAUAACAAGGAAAAUACAAUACGAAACAACCACGGUAGAAAAUUAUGCGCAGGAGAUAAAACUUCGAUGAAUUGUGAAAAACCGCCGUCGAUCGAGAAGAUUACCGUGAAAUACCAUGAGGGUACCAUCGAAAGGUGGAGAAUCAACCAAAGGUCACAAACCUGGCUUUGAUACCAUGUCAAUGUAUAGCAUUUAUCACAAGAUAGAUCAAUAACCAAGCUCUGCCAUGGAAGCUUUAGAGAGAGAAAAUGAAUGUCUUAACUUGGAACGUAAUAUAAUAUCUGUGUCUAGAAGGAUCUAAUUGAUCCUUUAUAUUCAAG
This 3403-nucleotide long non-coding RNA is filed under the name Capsicum annuum. RNAcentral's name for it is "long non-coding RNA (CANN_LNC004466)". Lineage: Eukaryota; Viridiplantae; Streptophyta; Magnoliopsida; Solanales; Solanaceae. The record is from RNAcentral.